UGGUAGUCCGCACGGUAAACGAUGGAUGCCCGCUGUUUGCGAUAUAUUGUAAGCGGCCCAAGCGAAAGCGUUAAGCAUCCCACCUGGGGAGUACGCCGGCAACGGUGAAACUCAAAGGAAUUGACGGGGGCCCGCACAAGCGGAGGAACAUGUGGUUUAAUUCGAUGAUACGCGAGGAACCUUACCCGGGCUUGAACUGCAACCGAACGAGGGAGAGAUCCUGAGGCCCUUCGGGGCGGUUGUGGAGGUGCUGCAUGGUUGUCGUCAGCUCGUGCCGUGAGGUGUCGGCUUAAGUGCCAUAACGAGCGCAACCCCUCUCCGUAGUUGCCAUCAGGUAGGGCUGGGCACUCUGCGGACACUGCCACCGUAAGGUGUGAGGAAGGUGGGGAUGACGUCAAAUCAGCACGGCCCUUACGUCCGGGGCUACACACGUGUUACAAUGGGUGGUACAGAGAGCUAGUGCUGCGCAAGCCGCAUUGAAUCAUGAAAGCCAUCCUCAGUUCGGACUGGGGUCUGCAACCCGACCCCACGAAGCUGGAUUCGCUAGUAAUCGCGCAUCAGCCAUGGCGCGGUGAAUACGUUCCCGGGCCUUGUACACACCGCCCGUCAAGCCAUGAAAGCCGGGGGCGCCUGAAGUCCGUGACCGCGAGGGUCGGCCUAGGGUGAAACCGGUGAUUGGGGCU
This 683-nucleotide ribosomal RNA is filed under the name uncultured bacterium. RNAcentral describes it as "bacterial SSU rRNA". It matches the Rfam family "Bacterial small subunit ribosomal RNA", at positions 788 to 1482 of the family's 1533-position model. The record is from RNAcentral.